CUCGCCGCCUUCCACUCCCCCAAACACACACGCUCAUACGCUCAUAUAGCACUCGUGCGCACCGACACACCCACACCCCCUCCUCUCUCUCUUCUCCCCAACCUACCCAUCGCAGCCAUGGCUACUCCUCGCAGCGCCAAGAAGUCCGCCCGCAAGAGCGGCUCCAAGUCCGCGAAAUGUGGUCUGAUCUUCCCGGUGGGCCGCGUUGGCGGGAUGAUGCGCCACGGCCAGUACGCUCGCCGCAUCGGUGUCUCUGGCGCCGUGUACCUGACAGCCGUGCUGGAGUACCUGACAGCGGAGCUGCUGGAGCUGUCCGUGAAGGCGGCCGCGCAGAGCGGGAAGAAGCGGUGCCGCCUGAACCCGCGCACCGUGAUGCUGGCUGCGCGCCACGACGACGACAUCAGCUCGCUUCUGAAGAACGUGACCUUGUCUCACAGCGGCGUUGUGCCGAACAUCAGCAAGGCGAUGGCGAAGAAGAAGGGCGGCAAGAAGGGCAAGGCGACACCGGGCGCUUAGAUACCCUUUUGGAGGUUCUGUUGCCGCUGAGGAGAGCAGAGUCGCACUGGGAGUCGGGCGGGGAGGGGGACGUGCACGUUCUGGUGCGGACAGGUGUGGACAGCGGAGCAACCGGAAGUUUUUUGUGCAAGACGCACGUGCUCUGACGGCAUCCGUGCCUUGUCUGUCGCUGUGUUGUGCCUCCCACUACCUCCCUCCCGUUUCCUUCCCCCCUCCCCCCCGCACAUCUGGGUGCGCGUGCAUGAGGAGGUUAGAAGCACGCACGUACAUACCCAGGCAUACCCACAGGCAUGCGACACGCGAGCCGACGCCCCCUUCUCCCUCCACCUAUAGCGACACACAUGCCCGCGAGAACGCAUAUAUACAACUAUCUACCUAUAUAUUUAUGCAUAUAUAUAUAUAUAUAUACAUAUAGACAACGAUGCACUCGGUGUGCUGCUUCUUCUUUUCCCUGCUUCCUCUUAAGUGCCCUCUGUGAGCUGCGGUGCUUCCUUUUUUUCUCCCACUCUCCUCCCUGAAAUAUUUCCGAACUGUGCGCGUCAUCUUCCCUUCCCCCCUCCCCUCGCACACCUCUCCCCUCCCCCUCCGGCUGGCUCCUUCUACACAGAGGUGAUGGGGAGAUGAGAGAACUGACAACGUGGUGGACAGAGGACGGAGGAGGGGUGGGGACGCAGGGGCAGAGCAGCAACAAAGUAGCGCAACGCUAUGGCCAACAGCUAUCGAUGUGUCAUUCUUAUAACGCAUAGCGGAUGCAAGCGGGAAUCAGACUGGCAGCGCUGCGCCGGCGUCUCUUUCCCCUUCUUCGUGUCCACGCUGCGAACGCUUUGGGGGCGACACGGGACAAGACGUGAAGAAAACACGCUGGAGUUGCCCAGCCGAUGCCACGCCUGAAAGCCAUCCCUUAUUUUCUUCUGCGCGUGCGUGUGUGUGCGUGUGUGCGUGUGCUCUCCCCCCGUCCGCGAUGGCGUCAUAUUUUUUCUCUCGGCUUUCCUUUCGCACCACUGCCUCCCAUGUUCGCCGUUGUGACUGCGCAAUGCACUUCGCUAGCCCUCCUUCCCUUGUCCUUCUCUCGCUCUUUUCAUCCACUGAUUCCCCUGCCCUUCACCCUCCCCCCUCCGACCAUAUCGGCUGCUGCUGCUGCUGCUGCUCAUGCGAUUAACUCACGCAAACGCGUCUUCUCCUCCUUCAG
RNAcentral lists this unclassified non-coding RNA (1705 nucleotides) under Leishmania donovani. Its description in RNAcentral is "gene:LdHU3.21.1380(CDS-product:histone_H2A_putati ve)". Lineage: Eukaryota; Euglenozoa; Kinetoplastea; Trypanosomatida; Trypanosomatidae. The record is from RNAcentral.